RNAcentral lists this ribosomal RNA (402 nucleotides) under uncultured bacterium. Its description in RNAcentral is "bacterial SSU rRNA". It matches the Rfam family "Bacterial small subunit ribosomal RNA", at positions 355 to 774 of the family's 1533-position model. The record is from RNAcentral.
UGGGGAAUAUUGGACAAUGGGCGAAAGCCUGAUCCAGCCAUGCCGCGUGAGUGAUGAAGGCCCUAGGGUUGUAAAGCUCUUUCACCGGUGAAGAUAAUGACGGUAGCCGGAGAAGAAGCCCCGGCUAACUUCGUGCCAGCAGCCGCGGUAAUACGAAGGGGGCUAGCGUUGUUCGGAAUUACUGGGCGUAAAGCGCACGUAGGCGGAUUGUUAAGUCGGGGGUGAAAUCCCGGGGCUCAACCCCGGAACUGCCUUCGAUACUGGCAAUCUAGAGUCCGGAAGGGGUGAGUGGAAUUCCGAGUGUAGAGGUGAAAUUCGUAGAUAUUCGGAGGAACACCAGUGGCGAAGGCGGCUCACUGGUCCGGUACUGACGCUGAGGUGCGAAAGCGUGGGGAGCAAACA